CACCACCAUCAUCACCCUGAGUAGUCUUUCAGGCGAUGUUCCGUGGAAGACACUCAACGAGAUCUUCCGGUGGACAGUCAGAACCAAUCAGAGCCCUCGGAAGAUCUUACUCCGGGGGCUUUUU
Molecule: small RNA, 124 nt
Filed under: uncultured Plesiomonas sp.
Lineage: Bacteria; Pseudomonadati; Pseudomonadota; Gammaproteobacteria; Enterobacterales; Enterobacteriaceae
Description: Histidine operon leader
Rfam family: Histidine operon leader
About the family: At least 6 amino acid operons are known to be regulated by attenuation. In each a leader sequence of 150-200 bp is found upstream of the first gene in the operon. This leader sequence can assume two different secondary structures known as the terminator and the anti-terminator structure.
Source: RNAcentral